Mya arenaria is the source of this 2729-nucleotide long non-coding RNA. RefSeq lists it as uncharacterized. NCBI's taxonomy places the organism in Eukaryota, Metazoa, Mollusca, Bivalvia, Myida, Myidae. The record is from RefSeq and is a predicted model, not a curated record. The transcript is spliced from 3 exons.
ACGGGUCGUAAGAAAAUAGUCCAUCAUGGCCGACCAAGAAGAUGUUCAAACAACCAAGAGAUAUGUUAGUCCAAAGACAGAAUGAGGAGCGAACUUUUACCACUUAUUUGUGUAGAAGAGUAUGGUACCAGGGGUACAGCUGACUCUGAUUCCCGGCUUCUUCUAAUGAAAAAAGGCAGAUGAGGCACUGUAAUCCGAAUGUAAUCAAAAAUGCCAUUGUAUGAGGAUUGACCUGCAAUGCAUGGAAAUCAUCUAACACAACUGCAACGCCUACCUUGGAAAAAUGAGUGCAAGAUGGAAACAAAGCGUUCAGUGGAACAUCUUGUCAUCUCAAAUAUUUGAUGACUUACAUACUGAUGUGAAGUUGAAGAUAAAAGUCAUCUGUUGGUCCGUGAUUAUUAAAUAAAUCCGAACAUAUAUUUUAAAAGGGUAAUAUGGUAAAGGAUAUAUCUACGCUUAAAGUGGUUUUCCUAUAUUAUGGAGGGAAGAUAACUACAAAAACAGAAACAGAUGGCAUCGGCAGACCAAAUAAAGGAGAACUAUUUUGUUCAGUUCAAUUUUUAUGCCCCCUUUUGAAAAAAGUGGGGUAUAUUGUUUUGCACAUGUCGGUCGGUCUGUCUGUCUGUCUGUCUGUCUGUCUGUCGGUCGGUCGGAAUACCAAAUGGUUUCCGAUCAAUAACUUGAGAACGCUUUGACCGAGGGACCUCAUACUUGGUAUGUGUAUUGGUCAUCACCAGCAGAUGAACCCUAUUGAUUUUGAGGUCAGUGGGUCAAAGGUCAAGGUCAGUGUGACCUUUACAUGAAAAACGGUUUCCGAUCAAUAACUUGAGAACGCUUUGACCCAGGGACCUCAUACUUGGUAGGUGUAUUGGUCAUGACCAGCAGAUGAACCCUAUUGAUUUUGAGGUCAGUGGGUCAAAGGUCAAGGUCAGUGUGACCUUAACAUGAAAAACGGUUUCCGAUCAAUAACUUGAGAACGCUUUGACCCAGGGACCUCAUACUAGGUAGGCUUAUUGGUCAUGACCAGCAGAUGAACCCUAUUGAUUUUGAGGUCAGUGGGUCAAAGGUCAAGGUCAGUGUGACCUUUACAUGAAAAACGGUUUCCGAUCAAUAACUUGAGAACGCUUUGACCCAGGGACCUCAUACUUGGUAGGUGUAUUGGUCAUGACCAGCAGAUGAACCCUAUUGAUUUUGAGGUCAGUGGGUCAAAGGUCAAGGUCAGUGUGACCUUAACAUGAAAAACGGUUUCCGAUCAAUAACUUGAGAACGCUUUGACCCAGGGACCUCAUACUAGGUAGGCUUAUUGGUCAUGACCAGCAGAUGAACCCUAUUGAUUUUGAGGUCAGUGGGUCAAAGGUCAAGGUCAGUGUGACUGUAAGCUGAAAAAAGGUUUUCUGAUUGUCCAUAUUUUUUUAAUGCAUGCACAGAUGAUUGGGAUUGAUGUAUAAAUGUUUGUAUAGAAAUGAUUUUCUUUUAUGUUACUAUUUUAGUUGGGCAUUUAUUUGCCUUCUUAAGUUAUCAUAAGUAAAGUGCAUCUUAUGCAAUUUUGGAGAAAAUUUGCCUCAAGCUCCUCUAUCCACUAAGUGCCAUGUUUGUUUCAAACUAAGAUAGAUGAUCAUCAAGGAUAUAUUUUCUUCAGUAAAGUUUUAAAGUAAGAGUAUUGUUCUGAUAUUUGUCUUAUAUAGUAGACAGUAGAAAUUUAUAUGUCACUAAAUGCAUGAGUUGAAGUAUCAGUUUUCAGUGAACAUCUAGUUUAAUUAUGCCCCCCUUCGAAGCAGAGGGGUUAUAUAAUUGCUUUGCACAUGUCGGUCGGUCUGUUGGAAGACCAAAGCUUGUCCGAGUGAUAACUCAACAAUUCCCGGACCUAUGGUCAUCAAACUUGACAUGAAGAUUAGGUAUGACCAGUAGAUGACCUGCCUCAUAUGCAUCCAAUGACAAAUCAGCUGUCAUUUCAGUCCAUGCAUAUUUCAUUCAAUUGUCCAAAUAUUUCUGGCAACUUGGCGCUCAGGGGGCAUAAUGUUUGACAAACAUCUCUUGUUAAGACUUCAGAAAAUCUGUUAAUAGGGCACAUCCUUGCAAAUGCCAUAUUGUAAACUGGGCUCUUUUAAAAGUGAAAAGGUGAAAGUGGUCUAGAGGAUAAGCCUCAAAUUCAAGGUUGUGAGUUCAAGACCUCCAAGAUGCUUUCUCUUGACCUCAGGAAAAGGAUGUCCAUACUUGUUUCUACUUAGGCAACAGACUUAAGAGUGAUUUUGUAAGCUUCCAGCUUGCAUAGCAAUCUGAUAAGGCAUAAAAUAAGAUACUAGCUGACUUGCAAACAGUUUUUCCAUUUGUGUUGAUUUAUUUUUCAGUCUGUUGGAAUGUUUAUUAGAAGUGAUGCGCAUUGCUUACUGCAACCACAAUUUAUUUUCUUUAUUAAGUUAAAUUUAACGAACACAUAACAUGACUUGUGAUUUUACAGAUGCAUGUUUAUUUCGUUGAUUGUAUGAGUUUAUUUUCUCAAAUGAUGUAAUAAAAGUUAUUCUGAAUGACUGUCCUUUUUUGUUUGAAGAAAAUGUGUUGAGGUUUUGGCAUAGCAUAGUGUCAUCAUCAUCAUCAUCAUUGUUGUGUACAAAUAAAACAUUCAAAACAAUGUAAUUAAAACCAAACUGUCAAGCCAAGUACUCAAAGAGGCACAAGGAUAUUGCUAAAGAGACCGGUAAUACAUUUAGACAAAUAAAAUGCAAAGAAAG